Molecule: long non-coding RNA, 5732 nt
Organism: Gasterosteus aculeatus aculeatus (three-spined stickleback)
Lineage: Eukaryota; Metazoa; Chordata; Actinopteri; Perciformes; Gasterosteidae
Source: Ensembl
AAGCUGUAAGUAAUAUCUAGGCUUACAUUUGGAGAUUGCUAGCAUAAUGCCAAACAAAAUGCUAAUGCUUUUAAAUGUUUAACAGCCUACUGUGCAGUUUAUAAAUGGCUUCAGCUAAUGCAGAGAGAAGUACAAUGAAAAAUAACUAAGUUAAAAUUAACGGGGUUAUACAUAUAUUAUAUGUCUAAACGAUUACUAAAAUGAUCUGAUGAACAGCUUUUCACAAUGAGUAUACAAGCUAUGGCUAUGUUAGAGCAAAUUAAGCUCCAGUUUAUUGUCCAGACGUAAAUAUAAUAAUGUGGAUGAUCCCAUGGCUGAUAGGCAGUUUCCAUUAUGAUAACUGCAUAGCUGUGGGGAUGCCGGUGGUCCUCUUCUUUUUUCUAGAACAAAAUAUUGAACUAACUACUGCAUCGCCAUGAAAUGUGUUAUGGACAUCAAUGGCCCCAGUGAGAUCAAUCCUUAUGACUCUGUUAGUCUACUGACUUUUCGAAAGUUCAUAAGUUUUUAGUUUAAUUUAGCUUAACUUAUUCAUGUUUGCCUCAGAGUCAUUUUUAUUGACUUUGGUGAUCCUCUUACUUUUUCUUUAGCUCUAUCAUCAAGUCUACAUUUCCAUUUGUCCAAUUCUUUUAGUUUAUGGUCAAACACCUGCGAACAUUCUCAUCUGCCUUACUUUUAUUUUGUCAAUGCUAAUCCUGCAUGCGAAUAUGCUAACGUAAGAUGGCAAUAACGGUAAACAUUUAACUUAGAAAUACAUUUUUUUUAUUUUUACAUUGAUACAUUAGCGUUACGCUCGAAGAUUGGCUGUUUAAACUAAAGCCUCACAAAGCUGCUUGCACCAUCAGACAUGCAAUUGAUACUUAUUGUGUGGUUUUAUUUGCAGCCAAUCAGCUGGCAGCUCACACGGCUAACACUGCCGACAACGGCAAAAGUGCCGACAGAGCUAACGUUAACAUUAGAGCUAACAGUAACCAGGGGAGUAGAGCCACCUUGGCUCGGGGAACACCAUUAUCAGCGGUAACUGCUGUAUGAGCGCUGUACGGGCCUUAAAAUGUCUUUUUUGAGUUUUCUUUGGGCAUUAAUUGCUUAUUUGGCAUUAAAAUGGCACCAUAUUGAGCACACUCCCUUUAAAGGUCACUGUAGAGGGUGUUACACAGGACUAAACAUUAGUUUGAGCUAGAACAAAAUAUCUUGUUGGAAAAAUUCUCAGUUUGUACAAAGCUUUUUAACCUCGCCUUUGCCUUGACCAGCUUGUAUCUUGACUUUAAACCCAUCUUCUUUGGGUAUGCAAUUUUUUAAGUGUGAGGUUGACAAUUUUCAGAAGAAAGGUAAAUAACUAGUCUAAUUCUUCAAAAGUUUAACAAAAGGCAACUGAAUGAUUAAACAGAUUCAAUCUUUUAGAAUAGUUAAUAUUUAGGAAGGACCUUAGAGUGUUCAUAAUCCUCUGAAUAUUUCACGCUGCAAGACAAAAUAGGAUGGCAACUAUCUCUUUACCCUAUUUUGUAACCAAAGAAAGUCACCACUCAUUUAAACUGAAGCCCUAUAAUUUGCUGCCAGGAGUAAAGAGGAGAUACAGAUUAGAAGGCAUAGGGUGUAAUUAUUUUUAGAGCUAGUUUUUCAUGAUCGCAGAAUAUUUUUUGCCUCUUGGAAUCAUUAUUUCGAGCAUAACCCAAACUCUGUUCUCAUGGUUCUGAUUUGGAUUUAAUUUUUGUAAUCAAGGGUCGCCACAAACAUUUAAUUAUUAAUGUCUUUUUAGCAGGGUUUACCUACUUAGGCACCCUGGGUUUAAUACUUGCAGCUGAGCCCAUACCAGCCCAGUUCCUUCCACUAUACUUGACCAAGCCAAGGCCUCAGUUUUGUUGUGGCAGUUUGACUAACCACACAUGUAAUCUCAGGCUCCACAAUACCAGCUAAAAGUAAAAAGGUCUAUAACUGGAUUUUAAGGGUCCCACUUCAUGAGGCCUCAAAAUUAGAUCAUUAAAUUGUAGUAUUUAGCUGUCAGUUGAUAUUCUGUUUGAUUGCUCAAAUUCUGGAGUUAUCCAAAAAAGAUGGAAUUACUUUAUUACUACUGUAGAGUGUGGUCAUUAAUAAUUCUCUCCUAUAAGGUCCCUGAUACUGUUACUAGUGAUAAAGACAUUUUACUAGUGGUAGGAAACAGUUCACAAUAUAGUGACAUAGUGACACAAUAUAGUGACGUUGUGUCUGCUGAUGGAUCAUUACUAUUUACCCAUCCGCCCCGGUUGCAUUGACAGCUGGCUAAGCAAGGUUAGCCAAACUUGCUUCCAUUAGCAACAUCUCCCCGAUAAUCCUAAAGCAUUCACCUGUCUGAUGGUAUAUGCAUUCCCAUCAGUAUUUUCUUUGUGUGACCUGGAGUCUCCUCCUGGUUGGAAAUGCCCGGACCAUGACAGUCUGGUGCAGUGUUAACAUCCCAGUUGAUGCAGUACUGAUUUUUCUGUGGAUCUUGAGUUCCAUCUCUUCAGUCCUUAAGCAAGUCAAGAUAGCAUUAUAGAUCAACCUUUGAAACCAGUGCUUAACUUUCAGGUUCAUGUCCGUCUUCACCAAGACAAGGACACACUAAGUCCACCUCACUUUGAAAACAAUACUCCAAGCCACUCGAUUCUCUCUUUUCUUGUUGACAGCUCAUUACUCCCAACCCAGAGGGAGCAAUCAGUCAUUUUGCAGUAGAAUACCAAGACUUAAUGUGCAGUUGGUAAUCGUAGUGGAAUUGCCACAUAGGAAUUUCCCCCAUUUCCCUUUUAAAUGAUCAUGAGAAGUUAGUUUGCUAGGUUUUGUUAAUUUUGUUGUCAUGAAAAAACUAAGCUUGUUUAUCUCAAUCUGUUUCUUGUAAUUUCAAGAAACAAAACAACAAUCAUCUUUAACCAUGUUCAUCACUGCCUUCUGUAUGAAAAGAUGUUCUUAUGAGACCCUCUCCCAACCCAAACACUUUUAAUGUUAUUGCCUUUUGAAUUAUUUUUAUUUCCUGGAGAUUUACUCUCGCCCCAACCACAAUAUCUAGCAGCUUAAUCCCAACCCUUAAUAAAGCCUAAACUUAAACCAAGUCCUCACCCUCACGUGUAACAAUUUAUGUUACGUGGGCAUGCAUUUUCUCCUCAUGAGGAUGCACUACUAGUUGGUAUAGUUAACGCUAACCAGCUGAGUUAUCUUUGAAACAAACCCCGUACAAUUAGCUAGAUACUUUCCUCACAUUCGAAGACACAGUUAAGUUUCACAAAACCCCUAACCCGAACACAACUUUUCCUUCAGUUUUCCUUCAACACAUUAUAAUAAAUAUACUCAUUAAAUUAUAUUUUGUUGUCUUAUCCUAAUAAAAUGUGAUACAUGUAAAUACUGUAACUUUUGCUGGAAAGCCAUUGGAGCUAAUGAGAUGCCAGAAGGAAGAAAACGUUAAAAUGUAAAUGGCCAGAAAGCAUAUGAUGGCCUCAUUCCAGGAAACAAACGGUGGUCAGUCAGGAUUUUGUCUCCGAGAACAUGUCGACCCGAUCAAUGAUCACCUCAUUUUUUAUAUAAAUAAAAGUUUCUAUUUUCAAUGUUCACCCAUGCUGCCACUUCACACUUUGAGUACUAUUACAGCAUGUGUUGCUCUCUUAAGUCCUGCUAUUAUCAGCCUCACAGCAGACAAAAGACACAUCUGCUAUUUGUCCACUAAUCUAGUAAAUGGCUCAGCUAUUUCUGGCCUUUUUCUUUGUAAUUUAUUGAGUCGGGGGAGAGUGGUCAUUGUUUCUAGGCUUUCUUCCCCAUCAACAAAUCGACAAUGCCUUGUAAAGCUUUUAAGUUCAGUUGAAUUGUAAAUCCAUGAAAUAUUUUGUGUACCGACACACUUCUUUUUACCCCCUAGUUGCUAGGGUCAUGGCAAUCUUAAUAAAUUGGCCUGGUCAGUUUCAAUUUGUGCUGCCAUUUUGAUUUUUGUCAUUUUUUAAUUCUAGUACACAAGAUAGAUCUAUUGCUGUUCUCCUUUUGCAGGAGUUGACUCACUCUUCAUCACAUGUGAAAGAAAGCAUCUUUUGGAUGCUUUUAUUAUCAGUUUUUUGACAUUCCAAACUAUUUUAAAUGAAUCUGGCAGAGACUCUGCGUUUUGUUUUUGUGUUUCUUUGCCUUAUUAAUAAUCCAAAUUGUUAACUGUCAUCUAUAAAUCCUCAAUGCACAUGCAUUACCAUACCAUAAUUCCCUCUUAACACCAGAGCCAAAGGUAAUGAGACUCCUUCAAACUUCCGAGGUCUUCGUCUUGAAGUCCUUCACUUAUUGAAAACGUUUUUGCCACAGACUUCUGCAGAUUGUGAUUAAUCCAACAGAUGUGGUUUGAUGAAUUUCAGUGAUCGUCUUUUUUAACUAUUUGAACUCACACAAAAGUUUUUGGGAGAACUGUGGUGAAUUAUUAGUACUCGGAUGCACUUCUGCUUACCCUCCAGAGUUUGUAAUUAGACUUUCCAUAACUUUCGUGUGGUUGUCUUUGACUGAGCAACGCUUAGGCCAACAGGGGUCUUGGAUUAACGCUUUUAAAGUUCUUUUCUAAAUUUAAACAUUUAAACUCAUAGUUUUAUUAUUUUUUUAUAAUAAUUAAGGAAUUUAUUUAGUCAAUUUAAUUUACCUUUCUAAAGGGCAGUUUUGUCUAACAUAUUCAAGCUACAAGAAUGAAAAAAACUUUAGGUAUUUAUUUGUCAGCAUGAAAUAUUCCGUAUUUUGAAAUAGCAGUUAUUCAGUUUUUUUCUGGUGCUGCAUAAUAUUAAAUCAAUUUAUUUGCAAUCUGAUUAGACUUAAUGUUUGUUAAAAGAUGAAGGCUGAAACACACUUCACUGGGGUUUGAUUGUUAUGUCUUUUAGACUCCUUUGUGGUACAUUAACGUGGUUUAUCUUUCCAUUUUUAGAGGCAGUGGUGCUCCCCUUUCUGCUUAGAGCUACCGAAAUGAUUGGGGUUUGAUUAUAAUUAGGCACGUAAACGUCAUGGUUAGGGUCAAAAUAUUAUGGUUGUGUUAAAAACACGUACUUUGUCAAUGUACGGGAACUUUUUUAAACAAAAAGAAAAUUUGUAAGGGAAUGGGAAACAAAUAUGCUGUCACUAGUAUGCCAACCUCCACACAUCCAGGUUUCACAAACUGUACAAUACCAAUGAUCAAAGCUACCGCUGCAAUUGUUCCCAAGUGAAGUCAUAAUUUAUAUGUUUUAUUCAGCAUUUGAACAAUUCACUUAGCCUUUUUAUGGGAGGACAGUCUUAACUGUUUUAUUACUGCUUUAUAAAGCAUAUAAACAUGAUUCAUUUAUCAUUAACCAAAUCAUUAGUGACAACUUAUAACACUGGCCUCCAUGGUUAGAUAGGGUACCAUUUAUGAGUGCAUUAUUUAUGCUACCAUAGAGCUAACAGGGGUACACAUCACCAGCACGUACAAUUCUAAAAACAGUGUAUGUAUUUGAUUAUGAGGAAAAUAAGGUAAGGAAAAAGGCUUCAACAUCUCGCUUACAGACCCCAGUAGUGCCACCCAAUUCCAUUAAUCAGGGAAAAUACCUUGUGUUUUCACAUUUUGAGAGUACUGGAUGCAUAUGCUUACAUAUUUUGACAAUAUAGUGCACAAUGAUACAAUAUGUUCAGUCAAUACACUGGAUUUCUUAUGCAUAAUUUUUCUUCACUGGAUGUGGAGGAUCUCGGAAGCUCAAAUAAGUGCCAAUUUUCAUGACUGCUAAACUUCCAUGUUUAUUAAUUGGCUCACUAAUAUUUACAAAAAA